GCCCCACUAGUCUGGGAUACCACUUGGAAACAGGUGCUAAUACCGGAUAAGAAAGCGGAUCGCAUGAUCAGCUUUUAAAGGGCGGCGUAAGCUGUCGCUAUGGGAUGGCCCCGCGGUGCAUUAGCUAGUUGGUAAGGUAAAGGCUUACCAAGGCGAUGAUGCAUAGCCGAGUUGAGAGACUGAUCGGCCACAUUGGGACUGAGACACGGCCCAAACUCCUACGGGAGGCAGCAGAG
Molecule: ribosomal RNA, 236 nt
Filed under: uncultured Lactobacillus sp.
Lineage: Bacteria; Bacillati; Bacillota; Bacilli; Lactobacillales; Lactobacillaceae
Description: partial 16S ribosomal RNA
Rfam family: Bacterial small subunit ribosomal RNA
Source: RNAcentral